Molecule: ribosomal RNA, 417 nt
Filed under: Lacticaseibacillus paracasei
Lineage: Bacteria; Bacillati; Bacillota; Bacilli; Lactobacillales; Lactobacillaceae
Description: bacterial SSU rRNA
Rfam family: Bacterial small subunit ribosomal RNA
Source: RNAcentral
UAACUAUGUAGCAGUCUGAUGGAGCACGCCGCGUGAGUGAAGAAGGCUUUCGGGUCGUAAAACUCUGUUGUUGGAGAAGAAUGGUCGGCAGAGUAACUGUUGUCGGCGUGACGGUAUCCAACCAGAAAGCCACGGCUAACUACGUGCCAGCAGCCGCGGUAAUACGUAGGUGGCAAGCGUUAUCCGGAUUUAUUGGGCGUAAAGCGAGCGCAGGCGGUUUUUUAAGUCUGAUGUGAAAGCCCUCGGCUUAACCGAGGAAGCGCAUCGGAAACUGGGAAACUUGAGUGCAGAAGAGGACAGUGGAACUCCAUGUGUAGCGGUGAAAUGCGUAGAUAUAUGGAAGAACACCAGUGGCGAAGGCGGCUGUCUGGUCUGUAACUGACGCUGAGGCUCGAAAGCAUGGGUAGCGAACAGGAU